GUCUAUUGCCAGUGAUCAGCACCUCAUUAUAAUUCUUGGUGUCCAUUACUUUUAUAUUUUAGAAGAUAAAAGUCAUAACAUUGAUGAGCAUAUUCUCUAAUAUAUCUGACAGCGGCAUUUUCCAAAAGCAUAUUACAACAGCUUUCCCUUCAGUCACCUCAUAGAGCUGAAAAAUACACCAAAGUGCUGACAAAACUCCACGUGUUUGAAAACAAGUUAAAGAGCACACAGGCACCAGCCCUUUAAAUGGCUGUAAAGAUAAGGACUCUAAAUGGUGACCUCACCACCUUCAGUCUCUUAUCACAACAGACUUGUUGCAGGGAGGCCAGUGUCGAGGGAAGAUUACGCCACUACUGAGAGUCUCCACCCAGACAUCUGGUUUGUCUCUGCAGAACGCUUCCAGGCAACCCACCAUCAUCACUGCUCGUAGCUGAAGAAAACGUGCACAGUGUUUCCCCUCUAUGAUUUACUCACAAGUAAAUGAGAGCAUAAAAAGACUCUGUGUCGCUGAGAGAGUGGGAGAGUUAUGGGCCAGUGGCUCACAUGCUGCCUGAGCCCCUCUGGACCCUUGGGGGACCAGGGGGCUCACCACGAUGUCUUUAGCCUCCGAACUGUUACACUAUUUAUGGACUCUCCUGGGUGUGCAUGUGCCUGUGAUUUAUGGCUCUCCAUCUGGUGCCGCGGGGACAUUGUUGUCAAUACUUGGGACGCGGAGUUAAAGAUGGAGUGGCUGGAAUUGUGUGGAUCAGUGUGUAAUUCUGAACAUUAGGCUCCCUUUAUCACAUUUACUGUCCUUUUAAACUGCUGUGUGGACAUUUGUCAGUUUACAUGAGAGUGAAAGGAAAGGAGUGAGGAAAAAUGAGCCUGAAGAGAUAAAUGUUUUUGUCACUUUUAUGGACUUUUUUUUUUUAAACUAAAAAAGUUGUUGAUAAGUUUGCUGCCUUUAUCACAAAAGUGCAAUACAAAGUGCUUUAAUGCAUUAAAAACGUUAAAGCUGUA
Molecule: long non-coding RNA, 999 nt
Organism: Epinephelus moara (kelp grouper)
Lineage: Eukaryota; Metazoa; Chordata; Actinopteri; Perciformes; Serranidae
Exons: 2
Source: RefSeq, a predicted model, not a curated record